RNA transcript from Gossypium raimondii (Peruvian cotton), 945 nucleotides. It is a transcript of the gene named profilin, with no coding region annotated. Lineage: Eukaryota; Viridiplantae; Streptophyta; Magnoliopsida; Malvales; Malvaceae. The transcript is spliced from 3 exons. The record is from RefSeq and is a predicted model, not a curated record.
AAAGUAUCAACAUUAAAUUUCAAAUUUACGAAGAGUUUAGGGAGUAGGGACUUAUAGCACAUCUUAACCAGAGCAAAAAUAGACACGUGAAAAGGAGAAAAAAUGGCGGUUGGCAAGGGAAGAGAGGUCAUGGGGAGCAAUGGUUGCUAAAAUAAUGGCGGACAUGAAUGGCAUAGAUCAAAUGAAAAGCUCCAAAACAGACGGUUCAGAAAUCCCACUAAUAACCCUUAAUCUUUGCCAUUGUUAUUCAAACUUGAAGCCCCUCUCCCCCCAUUGCUUUCCCCCUCGUAGCUCCCCCAAUAACAUCAUUAUCAUCUCAUGCAAAACCCAACGAAACAAAAAAUGUCGUGGCAAACUUACGUAGAUGAGCACUUGAUGUGUGACAUUGAAGGCCAAGACCAACAUCUUAAAGCUCCGUCUUCCCUCAGGUGUUUGAUGUAAUUCCCCUAUGAAGGUUUUGUUCUUAUUUGCAGUUAAAUGCUAGUGAGGUCACAAAGAUUUUGAUGAACCGGGCCACCUUGCUCCUAAAGGGUUACAUCUUGCCGUUGCAAAGUAUAUGGUCAUACAGGGUGAGCCUGGUGCUGUCAUUCGUGGAAAAAAAGGGAACAGGAGGAGUGACCAUUAAGAAAACAGGACAAGGUCUUAUAUUUGGUAUCUAUGAAGAACCAGUGACUCCAGGACAAUGCAACAUGGUUGUUGAAAGGUUGGGUGAUUAUCUUGCUGAACAGGGACUUUGAAAUUAAAAAGAUAAAAAUAAAACCUACCUUCAAAAUCAAUGCCCUUUUUCUUGAAAUUUAAUUUUGUCAUUCAAAACUAUGCAUAUAUUAAAUUUAAUUGGCAUAUUGGUUGAUUGAUUUGCUUCUUUCACCAUAUAUGCCCCCUUUUUCUUCUUCUUGGUUAUGUGUAAUCCCCAUCAAUGGUUACCUUAUCUAUUUUUUGUUGCCA